GACGUAGGGCGCGAGCGUUGUCCGGAUUUACUGGGCGUAAAGAGCGUGUAGGCGGCCAAACAGGUCCGUUGUGAAAACUGGAGGCUCAACCUCCAGACGUCGACGGAAACCGUGUGGCUAGAGUCCGGAAGAGGAGAGUGGAAUUCCUGGUGUAGCGGUGAAAUGCGCAGAUAUCAGGAAGAACACCAAUGGCGAAGGCAGCUCUCUGGGACGGUACUGACGCUGAGACGCGAAAGCGUGGGGAGCGAACAGG
RNAcentral lists this ribosomal RNA (253 nucleotides) under uncultured bacterium. RNAcentral describes it as "partial 16S ribosomal RNA". It matches the Rfam family "Bacterial small subunit ribosomal RNA", at positions 524 to 776 of the family's 1533-position model. The record is from RNAcentral.